RNAcentral lists this ribosomal RNA (1234 nucleotides) under Ascomycota sp. L222. RNAcentral describes it as "eukaryotic LSU rRNA". The stretch from base 584 to 1234 matches the Rfam family "Eukaryotic large subunit ribosomal RNA", at positions 1 to 621 of the family's 3401-position model. The record is from RNAcentral. Lineage: Eukaryota; Fungi; Ascomycota.
UUUUUUUGUUUCGUAGGUAUACAUGCGAAAGGAAUCAUGUACCGGAGGUUCUUUCAGUGGGGUCGCCCCGGCGCGCCCGAACCAUCCAACACCUUUGUUUUACCCGACCUUUAUUGUUGCUUCGGCAGGCCCGCCGCCCCUUCGAUGGGUGGCCGCCGGGGGCUUAACAGCCCCGGGCCCGCGCCUGUCGACGGCCCCAACCACAAACUCUUGUACUUAAACGUGUCGUCUGAGUUAACAAACAAAAUAAAUUAAAACUUUCAACAACGGAUCUCUUGGUUCUGGCAUCGAUGAAGAACGCAGCGAAAUGCGAUAAGUAAUGCGAAUUGCAGAAUCCGUGAGUCAUCGAAUCUUUGAACGCACAUUGCGCCCUCUGGUAUUCCGGAGGGCAUGCCUGUUCGAGCGUCAUUAUCACCCCUCAAGCCCGGCUUGUUGUUGGACGCGGCGGCGCCUUUGCGCCCCGCCCGUCUCAAAGAUAAUGACGGCGUCUGCGAGGACCCCUGUACACUGAGCUUUCGGGCACGUACUAGGUGUGGAAUCCAGACCCGGUCACCGUCCCUCAGGGACAAACUUUUAACCAGGUUGACCUCGGAUCAGGUAGGAAUACCCCGCUGAACUUAAGCAUAUCAAUAAGCGGAGGAAAAGAAACCAACAGGGAUUGCCUUAGUAACGGCGAGUGAAGCGGCAACAGCUCAAAUUUGAAAUCUGGCUCCUUCGGGGCCCGAGUUGUAAUUUGGAGAGGAUGUUUCGGGCACGGUCCGGGCUUAAAUUUCUUGGAACAGAAUGUCACGGAGGGGUGAGAAAUCCCGUCUGGAGCUCGGACACGACCCAUGUGAAACUCCUUCGACGAGUCGAGUUGGUUUGGGAAUGCAGCUCUAAAUGGGUGGUAAAUUUCAUCUAAAGCUAAAUAUUGGCCAGAGACCGAUAGCGCACAAGUAGAGUGAUCGAAAGAUGAAAAAGCACUUUUGAAAAGAGAGUUUAAACAGUACGUGAAAUUGUUGAAAGGGAAGCGCUGGGCAACCAGACUUGCGCGUCGGGGUUCCCCCUUGCUUCUGCCUGGGGUUACUCCCCGGCGUUCAGGCCAACAUCGGUUUCGGGGGUCGGUUAAAGGCCCUGGGAAUGUACCUACCCUCCGGGGUAGACUUAUAGCCCAGGGUGUCAUGCGGCCUCCCGGACCGAGGAACCGCGUUCGGUCGAUUGUGAUAAAUGGUUACACCCCUUUUUAAAAAAAAAA